RNAcentral lists this transfer RNA (72 nucleotides) under Ovis aries (sheep). It matches the Rfam family "tRNA". From Rfam's summary of the family: Transfer RNA (tRNA) molecules are approximately 80 nucleotides in length. Their secondary structure includes four short double-helical elements and three loops (D, anti-codon, and T loops). Further hydrogen bonds mediate the characteristic L-shaped molecular structure. tRNAs have two regions of fundamental functional importance: the anti-codon, which is responsible for specific mRNA codon recognition, and the 3' end, to which the tRNAs corresponding amino acid is attached (by aminoacyl-tRNA synthetases). tRNAs cope with the degeneracy of the genetic code in two manners: having more than one tRNA (with a specific anti-codon) for a particular amino acid; and 'wobble' base-pairing, i.e. permitting non-standard base-pairing at the 3rd anti-codon position. The record is from Rfam by way of RNAcentral. Lineage: Eukaryota; Metazoa; Chordata; Mammalia; Artiodactyla; Bovidae.
UCCCUGGUGGCUCAGUUGGUAAAGAACCUGCCUGCAAUGCAGGAGACCUGGGUUCAAUCCCUGGUUGGGAAG